RNAcentral lists this ribosomal RNA (155 nucleotides) under uncultured Thelephoraceae. RNAcentral's name for it is "5.8S ribosomal RNA". It matches the Rfam family "5.8S ribosomal RNA". From Rfam's summary of the family: 5.8S ribosomal RNA (5.8S rRNA) is a component of the large subunit of the eukaryotic ribosome. It is transcribed by RNA polymerase I as part of the 45S precursor that also contains 18S and 28S rRNA. The record is from RNAcentral. Lineage: Eukaryota; Fungi; Basidiomycota; Agaricomycetes; Thelephorales; Thelephoraceae.
AACUUUCAGCAACGGAUCUCUUGGCUCUCGCAUCGAUGAAGAACGCAGCGAAAUGCGAUAAGUAAUGUGAAUUGCAGAAUUCAGUGAAUCAUCGAAUCUUUGAACGCACCUUGCGCCCUCUGGCUAUUCCGGAGGGCAUGCCUGUUUGAGUAUCA